CAGCAGCUGGAGGACACAGACCACAGCAUGGACGCCUCAGCGACUCUCACAACAUCUGCAGCCAUCACGUUCUGGGCUCAUCAGAUGAACCAGCUACUACAAGCGUGUGUGUCUGACACAGACACCUGCUUAUGACAAUCAGCAAAGGAAAACAAGGACAGAGCAACAGCAGAGAAGACGUGCUCUGACACAGACACUGGUUGAAACAACAGGAGAGGCUUCAGACGUGAUCGGCCCAAAAGAGCUGCAACCGAGGAUCCAGGAAAGGUCUGUCAUCGAGGAACAACUGUCCCAUUGAAAGGCUUCACCCACUGGCGCUCACAUCAGACUGAUGGUUGGGGAAGGAGGAAGGUGACGGUUCCUUUUCACGUGACGUACAAGACGUUCCACACGUCCCUCUGUGAAAACAUGAUGGAGACAGAUGACAGGACGUGGGUCCUUUCGUGAACAGAUGUCAACGGGGUGGAGACUGGUGAACGACUUCUGACCCCAUGUGACGUAUUUACCUACUUUGCAUACUUUUAGAAAACUUUUUUUUAUUCUGCCCGUCAUGUGCAGCAAACAGUGAACUGGGUACCUCCGUAUUCUAAUGACACACUACAUGCUUAUGUUUUUAUUUUCAUUUCAGAGGACGCUCUGACCCAACACUCAGCCUAACAGGAAGCCCUGCUUCCCUGUGGCUCACACACAGACAUGAUGUAGGUUUGAUCAGAGGAUGUGAACCAGUGGUCAUCACACCUAAAUCUGACCACAGACCAUGUAAACAACAACACCCUCUUAAAGGAAGCUAUAGAUGGCGUUACUGCAGACACCACUAAUCUACUGAAACAUUGGAUGCUACAGGCCACAAAGAGCCUGUCUAAAUUACAGUUUGUUCAGACAAAGGUUAUUUUCUUUGAUUCUUUUGAAAAACAUCACAUCUUUCCACAGCUCGACGGCUUAGAUACAACACCACUUUGCUCAACAUGCUGAACGUUACUAUCAAGACGUCGUCUUGAAGUCUGGCACUUUGCUAAGACACUACUCUGCUCAGGCUGCAGAGUUGAUUGUGUUGACUGAAGCUAGUAAACUAGCAGAAGGAGAGUCUGUUACCAUCUACACAGACUCACAGACGCUCUGUGGAAGCAUAGGAAGCUUUGAAGUCUGAUUGCAAACCUAUCUUACAUCAUGAUAAGGUUCUGCUUUGCUGGACGCUGUCCUGCUGCCUACAGCUUAUGCUGUUUUUACAUCAUCAGUGACGACUUUGUUUCUGCCGACAUGCAGCUGCAGACGCUGCUGCGAAGGUCGCUGCCCAACAACCCCUCCCUCUCCUGAUCCUUGUUUCCUCUCCUGAUCCUUGUUCCUCUCUCCAACUCUCUCUAUCCUUUCCUUCCUCUCUCCCUGUGCUUUAAACAUUUUGUACCUCACAGGAACGCAGACUCUGGCUGACGAAUGGUUCCACCUGUAGCCAUGGAGUCUGGUUUGGGCCUGAUGGCAGCCGUGCCGCCCAAACACUUUUUCCCCACAAUUCAGAUUUCCCAACAGGUGAAAACAGGCGACAGGACCAUUACACCAUCCAACCAGGGGACUGGGCGAUCGUUAAGGAGUUCAGGAGGAAGCAUUGGGACUCCAAACGGUGGCGAGGCCCCUUCCAGGUCCUUCUGACGACCCACACGGCUGUGAAGAUCGCAGAAAGAGCGACUUGGAUCCACUCCAUCCAGGAAGGUCCCGGAUCCAACAGACGACCCUCCAUCUACAUCCCACGGAGAAAACCACCACUGACGAAAAGAACUGAGAAGGACGACCCUCGCUGUGCUCACACACGCACUGAGGCGAGGCUGCGUUGACCGUUCAGCUAAAGGUGUGAGCCAAGCGCCGCCUGAAGCUGCGCCGGUGAAUCACACUAUCAGAC
Molecule: long non-coding RNA, 1891 nt
Organism: Betta splendens (Siamese fighting fish)
Lineage: Eukaryota; Metazoa; Chordata; Actinopteri; Anabantiformes; Osphronemidae
Exons: 2
Source: RefSeq, a predicted model, not a curated record